GAUGAACGCUGGCGGCGUGCCUAAUACAUGCAAGUCGAGCGAACGGACGCGAAGCUUGCGUCUCUGAUGUUAGCGGCAGACGGGUGAGUAACACGUGGAUAACCUACCUAUAAGACUGGUAUAACUUCGGAAAACCGUCGCUAAUACCGGAUAAUCUUUUGAACCACAUGGUGCAAAAGUAAAAGACGGUCUUUCGGGCACUUAUAGAGGCAUCCGCGCUGCAUUAGCUAGUUGGUAAGGUAACGGCUUACCAAGGCAACGAUGCAUAGCCGACCUGAGAGGCUGAUCGGCCACCCUGGAACGGAGACACGGUCCAGACGCCUACGGGAGGCAGCAGUAUGGAACCUUCCGCAAUGGGCGAAAGUCUGACGGAACAACGCGGCGUGUGUGAUGAAGGUCUUGGGAUCGUAAAGCUCUGUUAUUAGGUAUGAACAUAUGUGUAAGUAACUGUGCACAGCGUGACGGUACCGAAUCAGAAAGCCACGGCUAACUACGUG
RNAcentral lists this ribosomal RNA (497 nucleotides) under uncultured bacterium. RNAcentral's name for it is "partial 16S ribosomal RNA". It matches the Rfam family "Bacterial small subunit ribosomal RNA", at positions 28 to 507 of the family's 1533-position model. The record is from RNAcentral.